Molecule: ribosomal RNA, 467 nt
Filed under: uncultured bacterium
Lineage: Bacteria
Description: partial 16S ribosomal RNA
Rfam family: Bacterial small subunit ribosomal RNA
Source: RNAcentral
GACGAACGCUGGCGGCGUGCUUAACACAUGCAAGUCGAACGGAAAGGCCUCUUUCGGGGGGUACUCGAGUGGCGAACGGGUGAGUAACACGUGAGUAACCUGCCCUUGACUUUGGGAUAACUUCAGGAAACUGGGGCUAAUACCGGAUAGGAGCUCCUGCUGCAUGGUGGGGGUUGGAAAGUUUCGGCGGUUGGGGAUGGACUCGCGGCUUAUCAGCUUGUUGGUGGGGUAGUGGCUUACCAAGGCUUUGACGGGUAGCCGGCCUGAGAGGGUGACCGGCCACAUUGGGACUGAGAUACGGCCCAGACUCCGACGGGAGGCAGCAGUGGGGAAUAUUGCACCAUGGGUGGAAGCCUGAUGCAGCAACGCCGUGUGCGGGAUGACGGCCUUCGGGUUGUAAACCGCUUUCGCUCAUGACGAAGCUUUGUGUGACGGUAGUGGGUAAAGAAGCACCGGCUAACUACGUG